UACGUGGGGACCGAGCGUUGUCCGGAAUCAUUGGGCGUAAAGAGCGUGUAGGCGGCCUUUUAAGUCCUGCGUGAAAUCCUGCGGCUCAACCGCAGACGGUCGUGGGAAACUGGAAGGCUAGAGUGCGGGAGAGGAGAGUGGAAUUCCCGGUGUAGCGGUGAAAUGCGCAGAUAUCGGGGAGAACACCCGUGGCGAAGGCGGCUCUCUGGAACGCAACUGACGCUGAGACGCGAAAGCGUGGGGAGCAAACGGG
Molecule: ribosomal RNA, 253 nt
Filed under: uncultured bacterium
Lineage: Bacteria
Description: partial 16S ribosomal RNA
Rfam family: Bacterial small subunit ribosomal RNA
Source: RNAcentral